GGUGAGUAACACGUGGGAACGUGCCUUUUAGUGGGGGAUAACAUCUGGAAACGGAUGCUAAUACCGCAUACGCCCUGAGGGGGAAAGAUUUAUUGCUAAGAGGUCGGCCCGCGGUAGAUUAGGCAGUUGGUGGGGUAAAGGCCUACCAAACCUACGAUCUAUAGCUGGUCUGAGAGGACGAUCAGCCACAUUGGAACUGAGACACGGUCCAGACUCCUACGGGAGGCAGCAGUGAGGAAUAUUGGGCAAUGGAGGCAACUCUGACCCAGCCAUGCCGCGUGAGUGAGAAGGUUUUCGAAUUGUAAAGCUCUUUCGGGUGUGAAGAUGAUGACGGUAACACCAGAAGAAGCCCCGGCAAACUUCGUGCCAGCAGCCGCGGUAAUACGAAGGGGGCGAGCGUUGUUCGGAAUUACUGGGCGUAAAGGGUGUGUAGGCGGUUAAGUAAGAUAGUGGUGAAAUGCCGGGGCUCAACCUCGGAAUUGCCAUUAUGACUAUUUAGCUAGAAUGAUGCAGAGGAUAGCGGAAUACCCAGUGUAGAGGUGAAAUUCGUAGAUAUUGGGUAGAACACCAGAGGCGAAGGCGGCUAUCUGGGCAUUGAUUGACGCUGAGGCACGAAAGCAUGGGG
RNAcentral lists this ribosomal RNA (625 nucleotides) under uncultured bacterium. RNAcentral describes it as "bacterial SSU rRNA". It matches the Rfam family "Bacterial small subunit ribosomal RNA", at positions 105 to 766 of the family's 1533-position model. The record is from RNAcentral.